RNAcentral lists this ribosomal RNA (497 nucleotides) under uncultured bacterium. RNAcentral's name for it is "partial 16S ribosomal RNA". It matches the Rfam family "Bacterial small subunit ribosomal RNA", at positions 28 to 507 of the family's 1533-position model. The record is from RNAcentral.
GACGAACGCUGGCGGCGUGCCUAAUACAUGCCAGUUGAGCGAUGAAGAUUGGUGCUUGCACCAAUUUGAAGAGCAGCGAACGGGUGAGUAACGCGUGGGGAAUCUGCCUUUGAGCGGGGGACAACAUUUGGAAACGAAUGCUAAUACCGCAUAACAACUUUAAACAUAAGUUUUAAGUUUGAAAGAUGCAAUUGCAUCACUCAAAGAUGAUCCCGCGUUGUAUUAGCUAGUUGGUGAGGUAAAGGCUCACCAAGGCGAUGAUACAUAGCCGACCUGAGAGGGUGAUCGGCCACAUUGGGACUGAGGCACGGCCCAAACUCCUACGGGAGGCAGCAGUAGGGAAUCUUCGGCAAUGGACGAAAGUCUGACCGAGCAACGCCGCGUGAGUGAAGAAGGUUUUCGGAUCGUAAAACUCUGUUGGUAGAGAAGAACGUUGGUGAGAGUGGAAAGCUCAUCAAGUGACGGUAACUACCCAGAAAGGGACGGCUAACUACGUG